GUUCUCUCCAAACAUUAUGCUAAAAAAAACAUAUAUCUUUGUUAUUAACAAAAACUCAGCAUUAAAUAACCCAAUCUAUAAAAUAACCAAUAAUUUUUCAUUUCUUUUACAUGAUCAGAUUUUAUACAAGGAAAAAAAUAAAAACAAUACUUUGUCCUCUUCAGUACCAAACCAAACAAUCUAUAUUUGAAUUAUUGUACAGCUAGAUGAACUAGAGGCUCUAAAGAGCCUGUGUCGCUCACCUUUAUUAGCUGAUGCUUUGGAAAUCAUGUAAAAUAAGGUUAAAAUCAUAAUUUAUAGUAUAAGAUAUCAUUAGAUACUAUAAUAAUAUCUAAGAAAAUAGCAAAAAACUGCAAAAUUUCCAUAAAAUUACUAACUCAGGGGCAGCAACCCAACAACUGGUUGUUGGAUUUUUCUGAAAAUUUCAGGGCAGAUAUAUACAAUUGUGAUGAAUAUUUUUGCCACAAGUCAGAAUGCUCUAAAUGCUUCAGUUUCAGAGAUAUAAACCACAAACUGCAUUUUACCCUAUGUUCUAUUUUAAGCCAUGUCUGCCAUCUUGGUUCACGAGGCAGGGUCAUUGGACACAUUUUUAAAACUAAAUUAUCUUAUGAUGAUUGUGGACAAGUUUGGUUACAUUUUGUCUUAGCAGUUUCAGAGGAGAAGAUUUUUGUAAAAGAUUACAAAAAUUUAAGAAAAAUUGGUAAAAUUGACUAUAAAGGGCAAUAACUCCUAAAGGGGUCAACUGACCAUUUUGGUCAUUUCACUUAUUUGUAGAUCUUACUUUGCUGAACAUUAUUGCUGUUUACAGUUUAUCUCUAUCUACAAUAAUAUUCAAGAUAACCAAAAACGGCAAAAAUUCCUUAAAAUUACCAGUAAGGGGUAGCCACCCAACAACCAGUUGUCUGAUUCAUCUGAAAAUUUCAGGGCAGAUAGAUUUUGAAUUGAAAAACAAUUUACAACACGUCAGAUUGCUAUAAAUGCUUUGGUUUCAGAGUUAUAAGCCAAAAUCUAUAUUUUACCCCUAUGUUCUAUUUUUAGCCAUGGUGGCUAUCUUGGUUUGCUGGCUGGGUCAAUAGACACAUGUUUUAAACCAGAUACCCCAAUGAUGAUUGUGGACAAGUUUGGUUAAAUUUGUCUUAGUAUCUCAGAGGAGAAAUUAUUUCUAAAAGAUUACAAAAAUUUACGAAAAAUUGUUAAAAAUUGACUAUAAAGGGCAAUAACUCAUUAAGCGGUCAAUUGACCAUUUUGAUCAUGUUGCCGUAUUUAUAGAUCUUACUUUGCUGAACAUUAUGCCGGUUUAUAGUUUACCUCUAUCUAUAAUAAUAUUCAAGAUCAUAACAAAAAACGGUGAAAUUUCCUUAAAAUUACCAAUUUAGGGACAGCAACCCAACAACAGGUUCUCUGAUUUGUCUGAAAAUUUCAGAGCAAAUAGAUCUUGACCUGAUAAACAAUUUCACCCCUGUCAGAUUUGCUGUAAAUGCUUUGGUUUCAGAGAUAUAUGCCAAAAUCUACAUUUUACCCCUAUCUUCUAUUUUUAGCCAUGGUGGCCAUUUUGGUUGGUUGGCCAGGUCACCAGACACAUUUCUUAAACUAGAUACCCCAAUGAUGAUUGUGGCCUAGUUUGGUAUAAUUUGGCCCAGUAGUUUCAGAGGAGAAGAUUUUUGUAAAAGUAAAGGACGACGACGGGCGACAGACACAAAGUGAUGAGAAAAGCUCACUUGGCCCUUCGGGCCAGGUGAGCUAAAAAUGAAUACAUUACACCCUUUAGAUGUUUCUAUUUCUAUUUUCUAAAAUGUUUCCAUUCACUCAAAUCAAGUGAGAUGAUUUUUUCUUAGUGUAGAAAUAGAAAGCAGAGACAUCAAUCAUAUGUCUUUGGUUAUGCCUAGGAAAUUAGUUCUAUAAUAAACAGAUCAUUAUUGAUUUUUGAAACUUAAUACAAUUUACAUAUCCUCAUCACAUUUAUAGGGAUGAUGCCUUUGAUGAGAGGAAGAAUGGGAAAAUGUAUUGAAUUUAAACAAAACAACAUACAUAAUCUAGACCUAUCAGGUAUACCAUAUCCUUUCUUUUUCUAGUUUGUCUUCAUUUAAUCAAAAACUUCAAAACAUAUUAUAUUUAAUUAUUUAUAAAUUUUCAGUAGUUGUAUUUCAAGCAAUUCAGAUGAAGGUCCAUUUAAGUCAAAAGAAAACAUAAAAGGUUCAGUUCUAUAUUCAAACUUUAAGUUUGAUAGAACUAGAGAGUCAAACUCUGUUAGUGUCAAGUUGAUUCCUGACUGAUCUAAAUAGUCUCAGCUUACUUCCCUUUAAUUAGGUUGGCAAUCUGAUUUAAAAUGUCAUCAGGUGAGUUAGAUAAUAUUUUGUAGUGUCCUGACAUAACCAUAAUUAUUUAACUUGAAAAAAGUUCAAACACCAAACCAUCUACGCAUUUAUUCUUCUAUAAAAGAGAUAUGAGUAUAUUAGUUACAAAUUUCAAAAUAAAUCUGGUAUCAUAAAGAAAUGCUUUGUUUGUAUUACAGCAGGAAAAAAGGAAUUUUUCAAUGAUUUGUUAUAGUGUUGUCUGUUAAUUAGGGUGGGGUCCAAUCUUCUUGAAAAUGCUAGUUCGAAGGUAGUGUUAUGUCAUUUGGUUAAUAAUUCAUUAUUUUUAAUAAACACAAGAUUUGUUUUUAUACAAUCAAUGUAGAAUUUCUAAGGUCACUGAACCAUGAAUGAAGGUAUGGUUUACAUAUUACUGGGGUUCAUGAAUGUUAUAAAAAUAUUCUUUUAACAACUGACUAUUCUAACUUACUUAUUAUUAAUACACUAAAGCAGAAUAUUUGAUGUUGAAGCAUGUGUAAAAUAACUAUUUUAGUGUUACAUUUGAACAUGAAAAUCUCAAAAUUUGAGUUUACCUCUUUACUGCAUUUCAAUUACAAAUUUUAAAAUGUUAAUGUGCACAUUGCAAAUACUUGACCACUGGCAAAAAUAUAAAAUCUUAUUAAUGCAACAUUUUGU
RNAcentral lists this long non-coding RNA (2987 nucleotides) under Mytilus galloprovincialis (Mediterranean mussel). The record is from RNAcentral. Lineage: Eukaryota; Metazoa; Mollusca; Bivalvia; Mytilida; Mytilidae.